UACGUAGGGUGCGAGCGUAAUCGGAAUUACUGGGCGUAAAGCGUGCGCAGGCGGUUUUGUAAGCCAGGUGUGAAAUCCCCGGGCUCAACCUGGGAAUGGCAUUUGGGACUGCAAGGCUGGAGUGCGGCAGAGGAGACUGGAAUUCCUGGUGUAGCAGUGAAAUGCGUAGAUAUCAGGAGGAACACCGAUGGCGAAGGCAGGUCUCUGGGCUGACACUGACGCUCAUGCACAAAGCGUAGGGG
Molecule: ribosomal RNA, 242 nt
Filed under: uncultured bacterium
Lineage: Bacteria
Description: partial 16S ribosomal RNA
Rfam family: Bacterial small subunit ribosomal RNA
Source: RNAcentral